This 110-nucleotide non-coding RNA is filed under the name Olea europaea subsp. europaea. RNAcentral describes it as "TPP riboswitch aptamer (THI element)". It matches the Rfam family "TPP riboswitch aptamer (THI element)". From Rfam's summary of the family: Vitamin B(1) in its active form thiamin pyrophosphate (TPP) is an essential coenzyme that is synthesised by coupling of pyrimidine and thiazole moieties in bacteria. Lineage: Eukaryota; Viridiplantae; Streptophyta; Magnoliopsida; Lamiales; Oleaceae. The record is from Rfam by way of RNAcentral.
AAAAAGCACCAGGGGUGUCUGCAUCUGCUUCAUAAGCAGGUCAGGCUGAGAAAGUCCCUUUGAACCUGAACAGGUUAAUACCUGCGUAGGGAGCGUGCGUUUUGUUUUCU